This 484-nucleotide ribosomal RNA is filed under the name uncultured bacterium. RNAcentral describes it as "partial 16S ribosomal RNA". It matches the Rfam family "Bacterial small subunit ribosomal RNA", at positions 29 to 523 of the family's 1533-position model. The record is from RNAcentral.
AGUGAACGCUGGCGGCGUGCUUAACACAUGCAAGUCGAACGAGAACGGAUUAUAGCUUGCUAUAAUUGUCAGCUAAGUGGCGCACGGGUGAGUAAUGUAUAGGUAAUAUGCCUUUUACUAAGGAAUAACAAAUGGAAACGUUUGCUAAUACCUUAUACUCCUUAUUAACCUAAGUUAAUAAGGGAAAGAUUUAUUGGUAAGAGAUUAGCCUGUAUUGUAUCAGUUAGUUGGUGGGGUAAUGGCUUACCAAGACUAUGACACAUAACUGGUUUGGGAGGAUGAUCAGUCACACUGGAACUGAGACACGGUCCAGACUCCUACGUGAGGCAGCAGUGGGGAAUAUUGCACAAUGGACGGAAGUCUGAUGCAGCAACGCCGCGUGGAGGAUGACACAUUUCGGUGCGUAAACUCCUUUUAUAUGAGAAGAUAAUGACGGUAUUAUAUGAAUAAGCACCGGCUAACUCCGUGCCAGCCGCCGCGGUAA